GUGGGGAAUCUUAGACAAUGGGCGCAAGCCUGAUCUAGCCAUGCCGCGUGAGCGAUGAAGGCCUUAGGGUUGUAAAGCUCUUUCAGUGGGGAAGAUAAUGACUGUACCCACAGAAGAAGCCCCGGCUAACUUCGUGCCAGCAGCCGCGGUAAUACGAAGGGGGCUAGCGUUGUUCGGAAUUACUGGGCGUAAAGCGCACGUAGGCGGACAUUUAAGUCAGGGGUGAAAUCCCGGGGCUCAACCCCGGAACUGCCUUUGAUACUGGGUGUCUGGAGUAUGGAAGAGGUAAGUGGAAUUCCGAGUGUAGAGGUGAAAUUCGUAGAUAUUCGGAGGAACACCAGUGGCGAAGGCGGCUUACUGGUCCAUUACUGACGCUGAGGUGCGAAAGCGUGGGGAGCAAACAGGAUUAGAUACCCUUGUAGUCC
RNAcentral lists this ribosomal RNA (425 nucleotides) under uncultured bacterium. Its description in RNAcentral is "partial 16S ribosomal RNA". It matches the Rfam family "Bacterial small subunit ribosomal RNA", at positions 354 to 796 of the family's 1533-position model. The record is from RNAcentral.